Molecule: ribosomal RNA, 771 nt
Filed under: Dipodomys ordii (Ord's kangaroo rat)
Lineage: Eukaryota; Metazoa; Chordata; Mammalia; Rodentia; Heteromyidae
Description: partial 12S ribosomal RNA
Rfam family: Bacterial small subunit ribosomal RNA
Source: RNAcentral
CAUGCAAAUAUCCGUAAGCCAGUGAGUUCAGCCCUAUGUUUUCUACAGACUACAAGGAGCAAGUAUAAAGCACGCGUGCCCACACACGCAGCUAAAGACACUAAGUCCAACCACACCCCCACGGGAUACAGCAGUGAUAAAAUUUAAGCAAUGAACGAAAGUUUGACUAAGUUAUGCUGACUUCAUAGGGUCGGUAAAUUUCGUGCCAGCCACCGCGGUCAUACGAAAGACCCAAGUUAAUAUUCCAACGGCGUAAAGAGUGCUAAAAUUCUAACAUACAAUAGAGCCAAGACUUGACUUCGCUGUAAAAAGCCAAAGUCAAAGCAAAGAUAAACAACGAAAGUGACUCUAAUUUUUGCAGCACUAAAGCUAUAACCUAAACUGGGAUUAGAUACCCCACUAUAUAUAGCCAUAAACAUAAAUAGUUCACAACACUACUAUUCGCCAGAGAACUACAAGCCACUGCUUAAAACUCAAAGGACUUGGCGGUGCUUUAUAUCCAUCUAGAGGAGCCUGUUCCAUAAUCGAUGAUCCCCGAUCUACCUUACCACUCCUUGCUAAUUCAGCCUAUAUACCGCCAUCUUCAGCCGACCCUAAAAAGGAAACAAAGUAAGCUAAAAGAGUAAUCACUAAAGAAGUUAGGUCAAGGUGUAGCCUAUGAAGUGGAGCGAAAUGGGCUACAUUUUCUAACCCUAGAACAUUACGAAACCCUAUGUGAAACCCAUAGGAUAAAGGAGGAUUUAGUAGUAAAUUAAAACUAGAGUGUUUAAU